ACUAUUGUGACUCUUCAAAUCGUAGAAAACGUUUGCCUUUUAUAAAGGCUUCUGUGGAGGGGAACAACAAGAGUUAUCAUAAUUUUUGAUACCACACUGAGAUGUGGG
This 108-nucleotide small nuclear RNA is filed under the name Cyprinodon variegatus (sheepshead minnow). Its description in RNAcentral is "U5 spliceosomal RNA (ENSCVAG00000000893.1)". The record is from RNAcentral. Lineage: Eukaryota; Metazoa; Chordata; Actinopteri; Cyprinodontiformes; Cyprinodontidae.